This 2050-nucleotide long non-coding RNA is filed under the name Vigna radiata. RNAcentral describes it as "long non-coding RNA (VRAD_LNC018308)". The record is from RNAcentral. Lineage: Eukaryota; Viridiplantae; Streptophyta; Magnoliopsida; Fabales; Fabaceae.
UAAAUCCUGAAAUGACAACUGGUGAAAAGAAUAGGUGCAAGAAAAUUUUCAAUUUGGUUGGUUUUCAAGCAAACCAAGUUUGGUGAUGAGACUUGGCUAAGUUGGUGCUUGGUGGUGCCAUGAUUUGAAAAUUUAUGAAAGUCUUGGUUUUUUAUUUUUAGGGACUGCAAUGCACUCUUUAAAUCCCCAAAUGAUUACUGGUGCCAAAAUCUAGGGGCAAGAAGAUUUUCAAUUUGGUUGGUUUUCAAGCAAACCUAGUUUGGUUUUGACACUUCGCUAGGAUAUUAUUUGGUGCCAAGAUUUGGAAAUUUUUGAAAGUCUUGGUUUUUGAAAUUUAGGGAUGCAAUGCACACUUUAAAUCCCGAAACGACAACUACUGAAAAGAAUAGGUGCAAGAAAAUUUUCAAUUUGGUUGGUUUUCAAGCAAACCAAGUUUGGUGAUGAGACUUGGCGAGGUUGGUGCUUGGUGCCAAGAUAUAAAAAUUUUUGAAUGCCUUGGUUGUUGAUUUUUAGGGACUGGAAUGCACUCUUUCAAUCGCCAAAUGAUUACUGGUGCCAAAAUCUAGGUGAAAGAAGAUUUUCAAUUUGGUUGGUUUUCAAGCAAACCUGGUUUGGUGAUGAGACUUGCCUAAGUUGGUGCUUGGUGCCAAGAUAUGAAAAUUUAUGAAAGUCUUGUUUUUUAUUUUUAGGGACUGCAAUGCACUCUUUAAAUCCCCAAAUCAUUACUGGUGCCAAACUCUAGCUGCAAGAACAUUUUCAAUAUGGUUGGUUUUCAAGCAAACCUAGUUUGGUUUUCACACUUCGCUAGGAUAUUAUUUGGUUCCAAGAUUUGGAAAUUUUUGAAAGUCUUGGUGUUUGACAUUUAGUGAUGCAAUGUGCACACUUUAAAUCCCGAAAUGUCAAAUGGUGAAAAAAAUAGGUGCAAGAAAAUUGUCAAUUUUUUUGGUUUUCUAGCAAACCAAGUUUGGUGGUGAUGAGACUUGGCUUAGUUGGUGCUUGGUGCCAAGAUUUGAAAAUUUUUGAAAGUCCUUGUUUUUUAUUUUUAGGGACUGCAAUGCACUCUUUAAAUCCCCAGAUGAUUAUUGGUGCGAAAAUCUAGAUGCAAGAAGAUUUUCAAUUUGGUUGGUUUUCAAACACACCUAGUUUGGUUUUGAGACUUCGCUAGGUUAUUGUUUGGUGCCAAGAUUUGGAAAUUUUUGAAAGUCUUUGUUUUUGACAUUUAGGGAUGCAAUGCACACGUUAAAUCCAGAAAUGACAACUGGUGAAAAAAAUAGGUGCAAGAAAAUUUUAAUUUUGGUUGGUUUUCAAGCAAGCCAAGUUUGGUAAUGAGACUUGGCUAGGUUGGUGCUAGGUGCCAAGAUUUGAAAAUUUAUGAAAGUCUUGGAUUUUUAUUUUUAGGGACUGCAAUGCACUCUUCAAAUCCCCAAAUUAUUACUGGUGCCCAAAUCUAGGUGCAAGAAGAUUUUAAAUUUGGUUGGUUUUCAAGCAAACCUAUUUUGGUUUUGAUGACUAGUCACAAAAAAUAGGUGCAAGAAAAUUUUCAAUUUGGUUGGUUUUCAAGCAACCAAGUUUGGUGAUGAGAGUUGCCUAAGUUGGUGCUUGGUGCCAAGAUUUGAAAAUUUUUGAAAGUCUUGGUUUUUUAGACAUUGGGACAAUAAUGCACUAUUUAAAUCCCCAAAUGAUUACUGGUGCCCAAAUCUAGGUGCAAGAUGAUUUUCAAUUUGGAUUGUUUUCAAGCAAACCUAGUUUGGUUUGGACACUUCGCUGGGAUAUUAUUUGGUGCCAAGAUUUAGAAAUUUUUGAAAGUCUUGGUUUUUGACAUUCAGGGAUGCAAUGCACACUUUAAAUCCCGAAAUGACAACUGGUGAAAAGAAUAGGUGCAAGAAAAUUUUCAAUUUGGUUGGUUUUCAAGCAAACCAAGUUUGGUGAUNANACUUGGCUAGGUUGGUGCUUGGUGCCAAGAUUUGAAAAUUUAUGAAAGUCUUGGUUUAUGAUUUUUAGGGACUGCAAUGCAUUCUUUAAAUUCCCAAAUGAUUACUGGUGCCAAAAU